This 440-nucleotide ribosomal RNA is filed under the name uncultured bacterium. RNAcentral's name for it is "partial 16S ribosomal RNA". It matches the Rfam family "Bacterial small subunit ribosomal RNA", at positions 338 to 795 of the family's 1533-position model. The record is from RNAcentral.
CCUACGGGAGACAGCAGUAGGGAAUAUUGCUCAAUGGGGGCAACCCUGACGCAGCAACGCCGCGUGGAGGAUGAAGGUUUUCGGAUUGUAAACUCCUUUUGUUAGAGAAGAUAAUGACGGUAUCUAACGAAUAAGCACCGGCUAACUCCGUGCCAGCAGCCGCGGUAAUACGGAGGGUGCAAGCGUUACUCGGAAUCACUGGGCGUAAAGAGCGCGUAGGCGGGAUAGCAAGUCAGAUGUGAAAUCCUAUGGCUUAACCAUAGAACUGCAUUUGAAACUGUUAUUCUAGAGUAUGGGAGAGGUAGGUGGAAUUCUUGGUGUAGGGGUAAAAUGCGUAGAGAUCAAGAGGAAUACUCAUUGCGAAGGCGACCUGCUAGAACAUAACUGACGCUGAUGCGCGAAAGCGUGGGGAGCAAACAGGAUUAGAUACCCCGGUAGUC